Molecule: non-coding RNA, 3380 nt
Organism: Doryrhamphus excisus (bluestripe pipefish)
Lineage: Eukaryota; Metazoa; Chordata; Actinopteri; Syngnathiformes; Syngnathidae
Source: RefSeq, a predicted model, not a curated record
UUUUUUUAAAAUGUAUUAACACAUUAUGGCCAUUUCGUGGUUGACUAUGGUCUAUAAUUAAAUAUUACAAGAGAAAUUAUAUAUACUAUCCUGGUCAUAAUGUUAUGAGACAUGACAAGAGAUUACAUUAUCUUUCACACUGCAUGGAGACGACUGGUAUGGCUAUUAAGCUAGCGGAGCCCAGUCGACAUGUCACGGCCACGAUGGAGUGUGUGUUGGGGGUGGGGGUCUCCUCUUAUUUCGUCUGGAAGUGUGGAUCAAUGUUUCAAAGUGACCGGGAAGAGAAAGCCGCCAUCUUGUACGCUCCUGAUGGCGCUGUGUGUGAAGAUUGUGCAUCGUUUGCGCUCCAAAGCGUCCCAGCUGAGCUCCGCCCCUUGGCAAGACGAGUCAGCGCGUCUCAGGCUUCUCAGGUGUCCUGGUAGGGCAGAUGGUAGCAGCCGGGACUGUUGUCGUCCGGCGACCAGAAGGAAGACGGACACUUGUGGUGGAGUUCUCUGCGCACGCAGCGAGGACACGGCUGAGCCUUCUGUCGGCACUCGGCGUGGAAGACGGCGCCGCAGCCGUCGCACCUGGGGGACGCCACGACACAUCAGCGCUCUUUUCCGCCGCCUACACGCGGAGCUGGUAGCUGUACCCACCUCUUGGUGGCGCUUUCCUGGAAAGGGUAGAUGACCUGUCCGUUGUGGCAGAGUUCACAGAUGAAUCCCUUCUCCCGACAAAGACUGCAGCUGAACACGUGCGAGCUGGCGAACUUUAUCACCUUGGACAGGAACGGCGCCAGCUGACCGUCGAUCACCUGCAGGGGCAGCAAGACACCCCAUGAUGUAACUCCAUUGGUUGGAAAUCACAGUUAAAAAGGAGAGAAGAAGAAGCAGCCAUCUGUCACACUCAGGUGCUGACGGCGACACCGCGGCCCCGAUGCGGAGGCGCUGCUCCGGCCCCGCCUUCCCUCCUCCCCCUGCCUCCCUCUGUCCCGUUGACGAAUGCCUGGCCUGAUGCGUGCUGACAGGCUCACUAAUUAAGAACUCUCCCCUAAUUGGAGCAGACAAUCCAACGACAGGCAGCACAUUGGUGGAGCAAACUCCUCCAAGCACGCCUUCGUUUGUAAGCUAGCAAGGGGCCUCCUCAAAGUGUCCUAACAAAGUCGGAUGCAUACAGCUGUCCAAAGUGUCUUGCUAGGAUGAUGAAUCGACGUUCCGGGACCACUAAGGACUUCCGUCUACCCUCUCAUUCAUUCAAGAGGUCAGUCCCAAUACUUAACACAAGUCUCCUCUCUGGUAAAGUGUACGUGUGUGUGUGUGUGUGUGUGUGUGUGUGUGUGCAUACCUGCUGCAGGUCAGCCAUCGAGUAGAGGUGAAUGUGCUGGAGCAAAUACUCUCGAGGGAAGAUUCUGUGGUGGAGAAGAAGUAAAGAGUUGUGCAGCAGGCGUGCCGGGAUGAGGAAGGUGUUGUCCCGGUGGCAGCUCUGACAGUAAUACCAACCGCUGUAGUGGCACACCUUGGCCUUUCCUCUGGACAGACCCACGGGACGCUGACAGCCUGACGACACACAGCGAGGAUGUCAUGACAACAGGUCACUUCCACUCAGCAUCAGUGAACAAAGAAAGGUCACGCCACUCUAUAAACCACUGUGACCCCCACGUGAGAAGACUGCAGGGUGGAUGAAAAUACAUAAGAAAUGACGGUUGGAUGAUCUGCAAAUUUGAGCCGUUGGUCCUGAAGGAAAAAGACGAAUUUACUUUCCACUGACAGUACAGUAAGUCAACUCCCGCCGCGCCGUAAUCCUGUAAUUCCUCCAAAUCUGCUAAAGCCUUUUCUAUCUUUUUGAUGAGUUCAAUGACUUGCCUUGGGUUGUUCCCCUUGAUGGGAGGUAGAUCCUGUAACUCCCUCCAGAUCUCAAUGACUAUGGAUGGUUUGUUUCCAUGUUUGUUGUCAACAACUCUGAACGUUUCUUCGCCAGUCCUGUAGGAUGUUUAUCAAAGGUCUUUUGUGAUCCCGUGGUCUACACUUGACAAGUUGCUUUAACCUUCAGGAACUAGGCUGGGACUCAACUCUUUAUCAGUCUUAUGCGUCUGUUCAUUUUUAGUCUCUAGGAUAGUUUCCAGCCUUGCUGAGUUGCUUCAGGUCAUCUUGUGGUUCAGUUCUUCUAAUGACUUAUAGAAAGCUAUUCUUUAUAUCUUGUGGUCCUCCGGUUUCCUCCGGCUUUAGUUUUAUUUUUCCUAUGUUGUUAGCGCUACGUUCUCUUUCGUGUUGUCCUGACUUGCGUCAGGUACUUCACAGAGGUAUCUGGAGAGUGUAACAAAUUCCUGUCAGAGCUCUUUCUCCAUCAUCUGGUCCGCAGUUCCGUCAAGUUCUCUGUGAAGCAGCUUGUUUGAUUCCCAGAAUCCUGACUCCUGUGACUUGAUCCUCCCGACGAGGUCUCGGUUUGGUCAGCAGUUUGGUUUGGAACAUUUAAGGACUUGAUUUUCCAUCCAACAACUAAACGAUAACCGUCGUUUAUCAACUGUCAAGUUCUUUUGGAAAGGCUGAGAAGAUCGUAGAGGACAUUUUAUCAGCUCAGUGAUUGGUCGAUAGCUUGGUAAAGAGGAAUAGCAUCACUAAACACGCUUACGUCAACCAAUCGGGGGGCAGUUGUGAGGCAACCUGAUUGGUUGAGGAAACAGCGCCACAGAUAAUAGUGUGUAUGGGACAUGGGCCAGCACUCCUGAUUCUGAAGGCCCUGAGCGGAUUAGACUGACAUGCUAACACACAGAACGAUAAUAAACUACCGGGAAUCAUUUCUUACAAUAGCAGAAUUUAAGUUGUAAAUAUAGGUUCAGUGAUUCUGGUUGUGUUUGGGCCAGCAGAGGAGGCUUUGCUGGCCUUGAUGGCACACCACAGCGUUUUAAUAUGAACAUUUGCGAGCCUCUUUCUGCACUUCCACGUACAGUCGAGACCGUUAAAAGGUUGUUGCCCAGCAAAGCAACCAGAAGCCAACAAAGCUGAGGUGUUUUUGUUCUUCAAUGUGAGGAAUCGGACCGUGUUUGUCCGCACUUCCCGUUUAGAAUUCAUUAUUCACGGCACUCACACACUGGCUACUUCUUUAUUUGUCCCCAGCAUCUCCCCUUCUGAUGACUAAAUUAUGAUUACAUUUAAGAUGUGCAGCGCUUUCAUCUGCCAUCGUGUGUUGUCUCACUCUGACCCCCUCUUACCUCUCUCCAACCGCCGCGCUGACCCCCGAGCGCACGCCGCACAAUGGCCCGUCUACCUCCACUGGGCCGCCCGCUAUUGAAGUGCCGAGCGGUUGCUUCCAUCUCCAUGGAAACGCCGCGCUCGGAUCGGGCGUACGCUUGCCCCCCCCCCCCCCCCCCCACCCCCCUUUGCCCUGUCUCUGAUGGAGUA